This 758-nucleotide long non-coding RNA is filed under the name Anser brachyrhynchus (Pink-footed goose). Its description in RNAcentral is "lncRNA (ENSABRG00000016964.1)". Lineage: Eukaryota; Metazoa; Chordata; Aves; Anseriformes; Anatidae. The record is from RNAcentral.
CUUCCAAACAAUCCUUAUGAGUGUUAAGGGAGAGAUGGUGAUUUCAUGGGAGACCUUGCAGAGUGAGGUACGUAUAGUCUCAUUAUACAGCAGAGUCUAGUCAAAAAUGUCAGGGAUAAGGGAGAGGUACAGCAACUAUCCUUUGGCUCAUCAUACAUAACUAAUAAAGCAGAAUUGGAGACUAGUUGUCACUGUUUGUUCACAUGCGGCCUAUUUCUGGUAAGUGCUGACUAUGGGCACCUGACAAUAACCCCAGGAAAGGCAGUGAAAACAGGCAUCUUCUUCUGGCUCUGCAGGCUGGAGUGGCUGUGAUGUUAACCCACUAUGACAUACCAAAGAGGAACAUCCCAAGACAUUCCUAAGACCUGCCAAGUUUCUCUCCAUCUCUCUCAUAUAUGUGUGUAUCUCUCAGCAAACAGCGACCUUGAUCCAUUUCUCAGGUUUGCAUCGAAAGCGAUUGCUGUCUCUAUACAAAAUGACCAGACUGAAUCAUGGUUCAGCACAUGUUGCGAAGAGAACUGCCUUGUACUUGUGAAUACAUCUGCCUGCAGGUGCAAGAGAUUUCCAACAGGAACAAGAGAAGAAAAAAAUGUGAAAAAAAGUCCACUUCAGAAAUGAUCAGCCGCUUGGGAUAUUAUACCAAUAGGCAUGUGUUGUGGAUUAACCCAGCAGGCAGCUAAGCACUGCAGAGCCAUUCACUCACUCACUCAUCCCCUCAUCCCCUCACACCUAGUGAGAUGGGGUAAAAAAUCAGAAGG